CCCUUAGAUGUUCUGGGCCGCACGCGCGCUACACUGAUUCAUGCAACAAGUUUUGUCCUUGGCUGAUAGGCCUGGGUAAUCUUUGAACGUGAAUCGUGAUGGGGAUAGAUGAUUGCAAUUAUUCAUCUUCAACGAGGAAUUCCUAGUAAACGCAAGUCAUCAGCUUGCAUUGAUUACGUCCCUGCCCUUUGUACGCACCGCCCGUCGCACCUACCGAUUGAAUGGUCCGGUGAAAUCUUCGGAUCUGAGAGAUGUCUGAUUAAUUUCGGACGCCUUUUGGAAAAGUUGCUUAAACCUUACCAUUUAGAGGAAGGUGAAGUCGUAACA
RNAcentral lists this ribosomal RNA (327 nucleotides) under uncultured eukaryote. Its description in RNAcentral is "partial 18S ribosomal RNA". It matches the Rfam family "Eukaryotic small subunit ribosomal RNA", at positions 1470 to 1796 of the family's 1831-position model. The record is from RNAcentral.